UAUUCUCUCCUCCGCUAUCAAGUGGCAAUGCCCAAUCAAAUUUGUGCAGAAGAUUGGCUAAUGCAAGUUCAACGACAGCAAUGGCGAAAUGGGUUCCAGGG
Long non-coding RNA from Telopea speciosissima, 101 nucleotides. RefSeq lists it as uncharacterized. The record is from RefSeq and is a predicted model, not a curated record. The transcript is spliced from 5 exons. NCBI's taxonomy places the organism in Eukaryota, Viridiplantae, Streptophyta, Magnoliopsida, Proteales, Proteaceae.